UACGUAGGGGGCAAGCGUUGUCCGGAAUCAUUGGGCGUAAAGAGCGUGUAGGCGGUUCAGUAAGUCUGCUGUGAAAGUCCAGGGCUCAACCCUGGGAUGCCGGUGGAUACUGCUGGACUAGAGUGCGGAAGAGGCGAGUGGAAUUCCCGGUGUAGCGGUGAAAUGCGCAGAUAUCGGGAGGAACACCAAUUGCGAAGGCAGCUCGCUGGGACGUGACUGACGCUGAGGCACGAAAGCGUGGGUAGCAAACAGG
Molecule: ribosomal RNA, 253 nt
Filed under: uncultured bacterium
Lineage: Bacteria
Description: partial 16S ribosomal RNA
Rfam family: Bacterial small subunit ribosomal RNA
Source: RNAcentral